RNAcentral lists this ribosomal RNA (329 nucleotides) under uncultured Glomeromycotina. RNAcentral describes it as "partial large subunit ribosomal RNA". Lineage: Eukaryota; Fungi; Glomeromycota. The record is from RNAcentral.
UUGAAAGGGAAACGAUUGAAGUAGUGUACANGGGAAAUAAUUUUGAGUGGGGGUUUUGGAGUUUUGAAGAGUGUAAAAGUUUGAGAUUUAAAAAUUNGUUUUUGGUGUAUUUUGUGGGUAGGUUANNNNAUUUUGANNNAUAAAAAGAUUGGAGGAAUGUAGUUGAUUUGUAUUGAAGUGUUAUAGUUUUGGUAAAUGUGAUGAUUAGGAUGAGGAUUGAAGAAUACUUUUAGGUAUUGUUGAGUUGAAAGUUAUUAGGUGUGAAAGUGUUAUGGUAUUUAAGUUGAGGUAAUAGGUUAGAAGUGAAAAUCGUUAAGGAUGUUGACGUA